Molecule: ribosomal RNA, 347 nt
Filed under: uncultured bacterium
Lineage: Bacteria
Description: partial 16S ribosomal RNA
Rfam family: Bacterial small subunit ribosomal RNA
Source: RNAcentral
CCUACGGGAGGCAGCAGUGAGGAAUAUUGGUCAAUGGACGCAAGUCUGAACCAGCCAUGCCGCGUGCAGGAUGACGGCUCUAUGAGUUGUAAACUGCUUUUGUACGAGGGUAAACCCCGAUACGUGUAUGGGGUUGAAAGUAUCGUACGAAUAAGGAUCGGUUAACUCCGUGCCAGCAGCCGCGGUAAUACGGAGGCUCCGAGCGUUAUCCGGAUUUAUUGGGUUUAAAGGGUGCGUAGGCGGGUUGUUAAGUUAGUGGUGAAAGGUGGGGGCUAACCCCCGAAACUGCCUCUAAUACUGUUGGUCUAUAGCAUGGUUGCGGUAGGCGGAAUGUCUGGUGUAGCGGU